GGACAACGCAUCUGACUACGGAUCAGAAGAUUCCGGGUUCGAAUCCCGGUGCACCCC
This 57-nucleotide transfer RNA is filed under the name Hydatigera taeniaeformis. RNAcentral describes it as "Taenia taeniaeformis tRNA". It matches the Rfam family "tRNA", at positions 17 to 71 of the family's 71-position model. Rfam says of the family: Transfer RNA (tRNA) molecules are approximately 80 nucleotides in length. Lineage: Eukaryota; Metazoa; Platyhelminthes; Cestoda; Cyclophyllidea; Taeniidae. The record is from Rfam by way of RNAcentral.